GCCAUGAGCAGGUUGAAGGUUGGGUAACACUAACUGGAGGACCGAACCGACUAAUGUUGAAAAAUUAGCGGAUGACUUGUGGCUGGGGGUGAAAGGCCAAUCAAACCGGGAGAUAGCUGGUUCUCCCCGAAAGCUAUUUAGGUAGCGCCUCGUGAACUCAUCUUCGGGGGUAGAGCACUGUUUCGGCUAGGGGGUCAUCCCGACUUACCAAACCGAUGCAAACUACGAAUACCGAAGAAUGU
This 242-nucleotide ribosomal RNA is filed under the name Acinetobacter baumannii. RNAcentral's name for it is "partial 23S ribosomal RNA". It matches the Rfam family "Bacterial large subunit ribosomal RNA", at positions 733 to 973 of the family's 2925-position model. The record is from RNAcentral. Lineage: Bacteria; Pseudomonadati; Pseudomonadota; Gammaproteobacteria; Moraxellales; Moraxellaceae.